ACGAACGCUGGCGGCGUGCUUAACACAUGAAAGUCGAACGGAAAGGCCCUGCUUUUGUGGGGUGCUCGAGUGGCGAACGGGUGAGUAACACGUGAGUAACCUGCCCUUGACUUUGGGAUAGCUUCAGGAAACUGGGGCUAAUACCGGAUAGGAGCUCCUGCUGCAUGGUGGGGGUUGGAAAGUUUCGGCGGUUGGGGAUGGACUCGCGGCUUAUCAGCUUGUUGGUGGGGUAGUGGCUUACCAAGGCUUUGACGGGUAGCCGGCCUGAGAGGGUGACCGGCCACAUUGGGACUGAGAUACGGCCCAGACUCCUACGGGAGGCAGCAGUGGGGAAUAUUGCACAAUGGGCGGAAGCCUGAUGCAGCAACGCCGCGUGCGGGAUGACGGCCUUCGGGUUGUAAACCGCUUUCGCCUGUGACGAAGCGUGAGUGACGGUAAUGGGUAAAGAAGCACCGGCUAACUACGUG
Molecule: ribosomal RNA, 467 nt
Filed under: uncultured bacterium
Lineage: Bacteria
Description: partial 16S ribosomal RNA
Rfam family: Bacterial small subunit ribosomal RNA
Source: RNAcentral